UUUAGACCUCAAAUCAGGUGGGACUACCCGCUGAACUUAAG
RNAcentral lists this ribosomal RNA (41 nucleotides) under Tuberculina photiniae. RNAcentral's name for it is "partial 28S ribosomal RNA". The record is from RNAcentral. Lineage: Eukaryota; Fungi; Basidiomycota; Pucciniomycetes; Helicobasidiales; Helicobasidiaceae.